Molecule: microRNA, 21 nt
Filed under: Sarcophilus harrisii (Tasmanian devil)
Lineage: Eukaryota; Metazoa; Chordata; Mammalia; Dasyuromorphia; Dasyuridae
Description: Sha-Mir-7373-o9c_3p (mature (co-guide))
Source: RNAcentral
UAGGGUGGGGGAAGGUGCUAC